RNAcentral lists this ribosomal RNA (313 nucleotides) under uncultured bacterium. Its description in RNAcentral is "partial 16S ribosomal RNA". It matches the Rfam family "Bacterial small subunit ribosomal RNA", at positions 551 to 863 of the family's 1533-position model. The record is from RNAcentral.
UCAUUGGGUUUAAAGGGUUCCGUAGGUCGGRCUACUAAGUCAGGAGGUGAAAKCCCRCAGCUUAACUGUGGCACUGCCUUUGAUACUGGUAGUCUUGAGUYAUUAUGAAGUGGUUAGAAUAUGUAGUGUAGCGGUGAAAUGCUUAGAUAUUACAUAGAAUACCGAUUGCGAAGGCAGAUCACUAAUWAUGUACUGACACUGAUGGACGAAAGCGUGGGUAGCGAACAGGAUUAGAUACCCUGGUAGUCCACGCCGUAAACGAUGGUUACUAGCUGUUKGGACUUCUGUCUGAGUGGCUAANCGAAAGUGAUAA